Molecule: unclassified non-coding RNA, 195 nt
Filed under: Cynanchum rossii
Lineage: Eukaryota; Viridiplantae; Streptophyta; Magnoliopsida; Gentianales; Apocynaceae
Description: contains 5' external transcribed spacer, ETS
Source: RNAcentral
UCAAGUGCGGCAUAGCCCCUUGGCCGAGACCCGGUUUCUUGCGUUGCGUACCUACAGGAUGGAUGGCAUUCGUUUUUGUCCCAACGACCCUCGUUCGUCUAGUGCUCCCCGGUUCGGCGGGGCACCAGGCGAAACUUGUAGCUAGCUUGGUCCGUCGCCCACGUCGCGUCCGGCUGUCGUGGUGAGCGGGGCACU